AUACGGAGGGUGCAAGCGUUAAUCGGAAUUACUGGGCGUAAAGCGUACGUAGGCGGUUUGAUAAGUCGGAUGUGAAAUCCCCGGGCUCAACCUGGGAAUUGCAUUCGAUACUGUCAGGCUAGAGUGUGGUAGAGGGAAGUGGAAUUUCCGGUGUAGCGGUGAAAUGCGUAGAUAUCGGAAGGAACACCAGUGGCGAAGGCGGCUUCCUGGACCAACACUGACGCUGAGGUGCGAAAGCGUGGGGAGCAAACAGGAUUAGAAACCCCAGUAGUCC
RNAcentral lists this ribosomal RNA (274 nucleotides) under uncultured bacterium. RNAcentral's name for it is "partial 16S ribosomal RNA". It matches the Rfam family "Bacterial small subunit ribosomal RNA", at positions 523 to 796 of the family's 1533-position model. The record is from RNAcentral.